This 460-nucleotide ribosomal RNA is filed under the name uncultured bacterium. RNAcentral's name for it is "partial 16S ribosomal RNA". It matches the Rfam family "Bacterial small subunit ribosomal RNA", at positions 338 to 795 of the family's 1533-position model. The record is from RNAcentral.
CCUACGGGCGGCUGCAGUGAGGAAUAUUGGUCAAUGGGCGCGAGUCUGAACCAGCCAAGUAGCGUGAAGGAUGACUGCCCUACGGGUUGUAAACUUCUUUUAUAUAGGAAUAAAAUGAUCCACGUGUGGCUUUUUGUAUGUACCUUAUGAAUAAGGAUCGGCUAACUCCGUGCAAGCAGCCGCGGUAAUACGGAGGAUCCGAGCGUUAUCCGGAUUUAUUGGGUUUAAAGGGAGCGUAGAUGGGUUGUUAAGUCAGUUGUGAAAGUUUGCGGUUCAACCGGAAAAUUGCAAUUGAUACUGGCAGUCUUGAGUACAGUUGAGGUAGGCGGAAUUCGUGGUGUAGCGGUGAAAUGCUUAGAGAUCACGAAGAACUCCGAUUGCGAAGGCAGCUUACUAAACUGCCACUGACAUUGAGGCUCGAAAGUGUGGGUAUCAAACAGGAUUAGAUACCCGGGUAGUC